CCUACGGGAGACAGCAGUGAGGAAUAUUGGUCAAUGGACGAGAGUCUGAACCAGCCAAGUAGCGUGAAGGAUGACUGCCCUAUGGGUUGUAAACUUCUUUUAUAUGGGAAUAAAAUGUUCCACGUGUGGGCUUUUGUAUGUACCAUAUGAAUAAGGAUCGGCUAACUCCGUGCCAGCAGCCGCGGUAAUACGGAGGAUCCGAGCGUUAUCCGGAUUUAUUGGGUUUAAAGGGAGCGUAGGUGGAUUGUUAAGUCAGUUGUGAAAGUUUGCGGCUCAACCGUAAAAUUGCAGUUGAAACUGGCAGUCUUGAGUACAGUAGAGGUGGGCGGAAUUCGUGGUGUAGCGGUGAAAUGCUUAGAUAUCACGAAGAACUCCGAUUACGAAGGCAGCUCACUGGACUGCAACUGACACUGAGGCUCGAAAGUGUGGGUAUCAAACAGGAUUAGAUACCCGUGUAGUC
RNAcentral lists this ribosomal RNA (460 nucleotides) under uncultured bacterium. Its description in RNAcentral is "partial 16S ribosomal RNA". It matches the Rfam family "Bacterial small subunit ribosomal RNA", at positions 338 to 795 of the family's 1533-position model. The record is from RNAcentral.